Molecule: long non-coding RNA, 2403 nt
Filed under: Gossypium barbadense (sea-island cotton)
Lineage: Eukaryota; Viridiplantae; Streptophyta; Magnoliopsida; Malvales; Malvaceae
Description: long non-coding RNA (GBAR_LNC012537)
Source: RNAcentral
CCAAACAAUAACAACAAAAUAGUAGCAACAUAAUAGUAAAAUAGUAGCAAAAUAAGGAGAAAAUAAUAAGAAAAUAAUAUUAAAAAAGCAUAUUUUUUUUGUCAUUUAGUGAACUCGGGCCGGGCCGGGCACGGGCCAAGAAUGCCUUACCCGAGGCCCGGCUCAUUUUUUUUAAAUGGGCCUUAUUUUUUUGCCCAAGCCUAUUUUUCGGGCCUAUAUUUUUGCCCAAACCCUCCCACAUUUCGGGCAAGCCUUCGGGCCGGGCUGCACACCUCUAAAUCACAUGGCAGACAACCAUUUUGAAGAUUUUCCUGAAAUGAGAAAAAAUAUAUUUAUGUACGCACUAAAGAUCAAAGAGGGAGCAGAUAGCUUUGUAUCAUAAAAAAAUUUUAAGAUUUGAGUUUAUAUUUGUUAGUUCUUAUAAAUAUAUCUUAGUAAUAAAAUCUUAUACCACUCAAAGUUUUGAAAAAAAAUGACAGUAACAAAAAAGUAAUAUGAAAAACAACGAAAAAUAAAAAUCGAAAAAAUACAAAUAUAAUAAUUAUAAACUAACAAAAAGGAAAACAACACCGACACCUACAUUUAGAGGUGUGCAUGGGCCGGGCCGAAUCGCCCGAAAUGUGGGAGGGUUUGGGUAAAAAUAUAGGCCCAAAAAAUGGGCUUAGGCAAAAAAAUAAGGCCCGUUUAAAAAACGGGCCGGGCCUCGGGUAAGGCAUUCUUGGCCCGGGCCCGGCCUGGCCCGAAUUCACUAAAUGACAAAAAAAAUCUGUUUUUUUAAUAUUAUUUUCUCCCUAUUUUGAUACUAUUUUGCUAUUAUGUUGCUAUUUUGUUGUUAUUGUUUGGAUAUUGUAUAAAACUUAUUUUAUUGUUAAUUUUUUUAUUAUUUUAAAGACAUUUGCUAAUUUUGUUACUAUUUUAGAGUCAUUUGCUUGUUAAGUUGCAUCUAUUUUAGUGUUAUUUAAGUAUACAUAUUUUUUAAAAUUUAUUUUCAAUUUGUUGAGAAAUAUUUAUUUUGAUAUUUUUAGUAUUUUUGAUGGUUUAUAUAUAUAUUAAAAUUAUAUAAAAAUAAUAUAAAAAUUAAUAUGGGCAGGCCGGGUCGGGCUCGGGUUUUAACAUUUUUAUUCGGGCUGGGCUUGGACAAAAUUUUAGGCCCAUUUUUGGGCUGGGCCGGGCCUAAGCCUAACAAACGGGCCUAAAUUUUUAGUUGGGCCUAGCCCGAAUCCUGUUCGGCCCGGCCCAUGCACACCUCUACCUACAUCCAAUGAUUUAAUGAGACAAGUUGUGUACCGAUUAUAAACAAAAUCGAAUGAGACAAUAAUGAAACAGAACCGGGCACUAAAAAAACCCAAAUAGGAAACUAAAUCACCAUAAACGAACCAAAAAAAAAUCAAACAAGACAGAAAUGACCCAAAACCACAACCAAAAUAGCCACGAAUCGGUUAAAAAAUCGACAAAAAAAAUGAGGAUAGACUUAACUAAAACUGAAAUAAUACCAAACCAUAGACGACGUACCCAAACCAAAUUGCAACGAACCAUACCAACUCGACACAAAACCAAUCAAACCACUGAAACCGAGCCGAUACAAAAUGAGCCCAAGAUAGACCAAGUUCAUUAACUAUUAAAACAGAACCAUUAUCCCGAGCACUAAGACCCAAAACUUAAACCUAAAAACAAAUCCACUAUCACAAACCAAAAAGAACAGGAAACUGAUCCCACAUGACAAACAACAAGACCAAUACCUACAAACCAAAAAAGAAGCCAUUAUACCCCGAACCGAACCCGACCCAAAUCAAUGAAAACUACAAACUUAGGCGGAACACAAUCCCAAACGAUAAAAUUGAAACCCAAUAACCCAAGCCACAACAGUUUUUUGCUAAGCAAAAAAUAAAAAGAAAUAGAUUGUAAGACAAUAGCUAAAAUAGUAAACAGAGGGAUACACAAAAUUCAAAAAUAAAAAAUAUAUACUAAAAGAUAAACAAACAAAAAGAACAACCAAACCAAGAUCAAUAGACUUGAAACAUGAAACGAAACAGUGAAUUGUAAAGCAGAAAACAAAAAUCCUAAAAAAAAAAACCCCUUAAAUACGAGUAAAAAAGCAUAGAUUUGAAACUAAAUCAAACAAGGCAAAAGAAAAUUUUGAACUUAAAAUUCAUACCUGAAUAUCAAUCUACGAUGAAGCAGGGGAUUUCAAUAUCAAUAAAAACAGAAACCGCAGAGGAAAACUUUGGGUCUUUCUCACACACGAAAACUCUCUUCAUACUGUCGCUUGACAGGAAAAAAUAGAAAAGAGGCCGAGAGAAAAAAAAAUUUCAUUUAUUUUUUACUGGUUAGUUUUAUUAGGAAUUAAUUGCAGAAAAUUGUUCAUUUCCAAGAGUCACUUUAUUAGGAGUUGAGCCAAAUUAA